AGGACUGUAGCUCAGUUGGUUAGAGCACCACCUUGACAUGGUGGGGGUCGCUGGUUCGAAUCCAGUCAGUCCUACCA
Molecule: transfer RNA, 77 nt
Filed under: Marinobacterium nitratireducens
Lineage: Bacteria; Pseudomonadati; Pseudomonadota; Gammaproteobacteria; Oceanospirillales; Oceanospirillaceae
Also listed under: 2 other names
Description: tRNA-Val
Rfam family: tRNA
About the family: Transfer RNA (tRNA) molecules are approximately 80 nucleotides in length. Their secondary structure includes four short double-helical elements and three loops (D, anti-codon, and T loops).
Source: RNAcentral